Molecule: long non-coding RNA, 4566 nt
Filed under: Salvia miltiorrhiza (redroot sage)
Lineage: Eukaryota; Viridiplantae; Streptophyta; Magnoliopsida; Lamiales; Lamiaceae
Description: long non-coding RNA (SMIL_LNC007314)
Source: RNAcentral
UUUAGCAUUAAACAAAAGCAUUUCCUCUCUCUUCCUCCCCUCUCAUUUUCGUCCAUCUCUCUCUCCCUCUCUACUCUCACUAUUUUCUUUUCAAUCCAUCAUGGAAGAACACUCCAAAGCUUCUAAACACAUAGAUCCACCAUCACCAUUCCUAGAGCUAGCCUUCAAUCACCAAGAAUCAAGAGAAUGAUCAAGCUAGAGUUUCCAAACCCAAGUGGAUCAAAGAGUUCGCCAUUUUCUUAAAUAUUGAGGGUAAGUGGAUCAACCUUAAGAUUCCUUAAAUCUACCUCCAUUUCUUGAUGUUUUGAUGGAAGAAAACAAGAAAAUCAAACCCCUCCAUCAUUUCUCUAAUUUUCGAAAAUUGGGGGUAUUUUUACCCUUCAAAUAUUUUCACUUUCUUUUCUUAAAUCGAGGCAAUAAUUAUGUAAUUGAGAACCUAUUGAGUUGAUAUCCAUGAGUUUUUAAAAGGAUUAGAAAUGAUUUUGAAUUUUCAAAGAGUUUAGUUUGCUAAAUUUGGGAAGUUUUGAAUUUGAGGUUGAUUGAUGAAUUGAUGGAUGAUAUAUGCUAUUGAGAGUGUUUAUAUGAGAUUUGAUGGAUUGGAUUGAUGGUUGAAUUGUAUUAGUUAAUUUUGAUUAUGUAGUUAGUUUGAUGUAAUUUGGGUAAAAUUGAUUCUAUGGUUUAAUUUACUAAUUGAUUGCUUAUUUCUGUUUUCAUAAUACAACCCGGAAGAUAUUUUUUUUAUCUACACCUACCCACCAUUUCCACCCACUCUCCCCACUCACACUUUCCACUCUCCCCACUCACACUUCACACCAUACUUUGCCCCCCACCAAAAUAAACUUUAGCCAUAAUACUCAUUCCCUUCCACCCACCAUUUCAGACUUGUCUGCAAAGCCAUUUCCUCUUGGCAAUUCCCACCAUUUCAGACUCUCUCUUUGGCGUACAGAAUCCAGCACACAAGUAAGAUUUCUAAAUCAGUUUCUUUACAUUCUUCCCUAUGAAUAAGAGCCUUCAUUUAAAUGGUAUUCAUAUCUAUGAACCUUCUUUUCCAGCAAACAAACAGGAUCAACACUCACUGAAAUUUCUCACAAGGUAGCCAUUUGAUUUCUUUUACCUCUGCUCAUAAAUCGAACUUCAAGCUGCAAGCUUGUUCAAAGCUAUAUACAAUUUGAUAUAUACCCAGCAACGCAUUUCAAGCAUUUCAUUAAAAUGACAUUCAUAAUCAUAAGCAUACAAUCUGUAUAUAUAUAUAUAUUCAUACAUCAGAGCAUGAUUUAUAAAAGAAGAAGUAGAGGAGGACGACUUUUCGAAGCUUGGUUUCUCCAUGUCUCAGUUCUUGCUUCUAGCUUGUUGAGUGAGUGUUGUGUUUCUGCUGAGUCGAGUCAAGGGAGGGUUGUGUUGAGCGAGAGGUAGAGGGAGGCUAGGGCUCGGCGGCGGCUUCGCAGUUGUUGUCCGGCCGAGGAUGGAGCAUGAGAGAUGAGGGCGGUAGCUGGUCGGGGUAGAGGUUAGGGCUCCGGCGGGCGGCUCCGGCUGCUGCUCGUCGGCGGGAGUCACAGAGAGAGUUCCGAGGGUGAUAAGAGGGCGGCGAUGGUGGCGGCAUGAAGCUGCUGCCGUCGGCCAAAGUUCAGCGGAGGGAGGUAGAGUCGGCGGACGGCGGCUGCGUGCUACCUCCGUCCAUGUGCUUGGGCUGUGUAGAAAGUCGAGGGUGGCGCGGCCUGCUGCUGCUGCACCUCCGGCGAGUUCAGUGGUGGCGGUUUUCGCCCAAGAAAGAAGAGUGGGGUGGGCGGAUCUUUCAACCGAGAUGUAGUGGUUACCGCCGCUUGCUCCGGCGAGCUCCAGCGGCCGUGAAGUCCGAGCAGUUCGAGGAGAGAGGCGAGCAGUCGUGAGCUUGAGGGAGAGGGAGUGACUGUGAGUGUGAGAGAGACGAAAUGGGGGGAUGAUGGCGCAGCUGUGUGGUGCGUGUGUUUGAGUGUGUGUGUGUGUUUAAAGAGAUGAAGAAUUGGGCUUUAGGUUUAGAGGAGUUGGGCUGAGUCAAAUUUUAUUUUGCUUGGGCUCUUUUAAUAAUGAGAUGGGCCACUGAAUUAUUUUUGGAAGCNGCGUGCAUACAUGAGAUCUUGUUAUAUAAGAAGAGUUAUGAGUCGAGCUUGUUUAUAUAUGGCUAUUUGAUGAUAAAUUGAGCUUGUAUAUGCGAUAUGAGACGAAACGGACCAACUCCUAAUGACUUAUGUGUUGGCCGAAUGUAAGGAGAAAAAGGGGAAGUCGAUGUUUGAAUUUUCUUGAGUUAUAUGAUCAUGUAUUUAUGUUAUUGUGAUUUAUAUGAGCUUAAUUUGAAUUUUUGAGAAUUUUUCAUCGAAGAAGUCCGGAAUUUAGGUAUAUUUGCUUUAUGCUCAAGUUUGGAGUUAAUUUGAGAACCUUUUUAAAGGCUACUGACCUACGGUUUUCGACGUGAUUUUGAUAUCCAAAAGCCAUGAAAAUUUUAUGAUAAGUAUACUUGAGAGUUUUGAGCACACCGGUAAAAUUUCAAGCCAUUCCAACUUCGUUUGAUAUUUCUUUCAAAUGAAAAACCUAAACUGCACAUUACUACCGAGAAUUUCAGAGAACAGGGGAAAGAGUCUUUCAUUUCAGUAGCUUCCUGUGUGAUAUAGAUUUCCAAAUUUUUAUGGUAUUACCCUUAUUGUGUUAGAUAGAUAUACACCAAAUUUGAGCCCAUUUUGACAACGUUUACUAUUUUUCAAAAAUCAAUGUUUUCGAAUGCCCAAAACUGCCGAAUAUGGUAGAUCGUGGUAAAAACGUCAUAUCUCUCAAACCACUUGGAGUUUUCGACUCUACUUUUUUUUAUAUGAAACUAGACUUGAAGAUCUUUCUUUCAGUAUGAGUCUCGAGUCCAGGAGAUGUCGGAGUCAGAACAUAUUAAAAUUUGAAGUUGAAUCAAUGUAAAAACAGAGCAUGUUUUAAUGAUGUUUGAUUGUGAUUCUUAUGUGCCUUAUGUGAUUGUGUUGUCUAUGUGUUUGAAUGAGAUUAGACGAGCCUUAUAUGAGAGAUAAAUCGAGACUUAGUACCAUGAUUUUCUUGAAACCUAUCCUUGAACUUAAGGAUUUGAGAUGAGUGGAGAGUUUAUAUAGAGUUGAGUAAGGAGAUAGAAUAUGAGAUAGAGCAUGAGUUAAGACUUUAUGAGUAUGGAUUUUAAAAGGAUUAAAAUGUUUUAAAUCAAUUCCAUUUUAAUGGAGUUUAAAAUGCUUAUUUAAGUCAUUUAUAAAUGAAUAAUGGAAUUUCGUAUUUAUUUACAUGGAAAUGAAAUGUAUAGAAUGUUAUAAGAUGGUGCAUGAUUAUUAUCUCUUAUGUGAACAUGUGAAUUUCUAAAUGAUAUUAAGUUUAAGGAUGUUGAAUUCUUUUAUUUUGUUUGUUAUGUGGUUACGUGAUAUUAUGUGGUUAGUCGAUGUUAUGUUGGUUUUUGAUUGUUUUAAUCGAAAUGAAUUAUGGAUGCUAGAACCCUAAAACACUAAAAGAUACCCUAAGCACGUAGAAUUAGACUUUGUCUUGUGACAAUUUUCUUCACGAACUUAUCGACUCUAUAUCAAUGAAGGUCCGGGCGACAAGAAGUGAAGCCGAAGAAGAAGCGACUCCACGCUAGCUUAAGAACGUUUGAGGUGGGCAUUACUUUUACUAUACGUAUGUAGAGAUCCCCUGCGUGACAUAGGCCUCUUAUACGAAUAUAUGCAUGAGAUGAUUUUAACUGUUAAUUUCAGUUUAUUAUUAUGCCCAAAUGAUAAAUGACUCUUAUGAAAUGAAAAUGAUAUGUUUAUGAAAUGAAAUGAAAUGUUUAUGAAAUGAUUGACUGCCAAAAAUGUUUAUGUUUUACGUAUGUAUCCUAUCUGUGUUGGUUCGCCAACUUUAAAGGAAAUCCAAUUGGGAUCCUAUGCUAGACAAAUGUCGCUAGCUAGGGUUAACGUGUACACUUAUGGAGACCGCGAGUCGCUUGCGACCGGUCUUGGCGUCCGUGGUAAGGAGGCCUCCUUCCCGGCGCGUGACAGAAAGGAACAGAUAUGGAUCAUAUGAAGGAAAAUGGGUCGGCCGGCCAAUCUUAUGAAAAUGAAAGAAAUGUUUUAGUAAGCGCAGGACUUUCAAGAAAACCCCUGUGUGUUACUGUUGGCAGUUCAAUUUAUAUAUGUUAUGCAUGACUGUAUUUUCGGCAUAUAUCCACUGAGUAUUUUUAUACUCAGCCCUGCAUGUAUUUCUAAAUGUGCAGGUUGAGCAGCUGAUGGAAUGGAAUGGUGUUGAGCGGGUGGUCCUUUGAUCAUUUCAAGAAAUGUAACCUUGAGUAUACAUCUUCAUAUGUAUAUCUCACACGUUUUCCGCUGCAAAACACUUUGAUUAGGAUAACUCUAUGUUGUGAAGUUGUGACACGUGAUAUUGGGUAACCCACCUUAAUCAGUUCUCCUUUAUGUGUAUGUGUUAUAAGUAUCCAAAUGAUCAUAUAUGAUCCUAACAUUUUAUCUAUAAGUGACAUUUCCAUAUACUCUAAUGUUAAGUAAUUAUCCAUUUCCGUUCCCACUCAUUAAUUCUCAU